Molecule: long non-coding RNA, 1154 nt
Organism: Perognathus longimembris pacificus (Pacific pocket mouse)
Lineage: Eukaryota; Metazoa; Chordata; Mammalia; Rodentia; Heteromyidae
Exons: 2
Source: RefSeq, a predicted model, not a curated record
ACCUGACUCAAACUCAGUGCUUGACAUUCACUCACUGGCUAACUCUACCAACUGAGCCAUUCCUUCGACCUCUAAUGUUGGACCUUUUCAUGGCAUAGAUGCAAUAGUUGUUUGCAAAUGCUUCCAUUAUUUAUUGCUCACUUGUAGAUAUAUCAGAGGCAGCGAAGAUGGUAAACCUUGCUGACCCUUCUUGCUUAGGGAAGAAGUUGUCUUGAUGGAAGAAAGGUUCCCCAGCAAAGUGGUGAGGGGUGUUUUGAGCUUUCCUUCUGGAUACUGCCAUAGUAAAUGCUAACCCUUCAAAAACAAUAAGUCUUUUCAGAAUUCCUUCUUUUUACUUCCCCAUGUUACAUUUUCUCUUCGAACAUAUUGACUUUUCAGUAUCUUUUGGCAAUUCAGUCCAACUUUCCAUUUUCUAGAUGACCCUUCUUAACAUUUAUAGCAUGAAGUUGAACUUCUGUUUGGUUUCAGGGUAGAUAGCAUGUACUUUGUUGUUUUAUAUCUGAUAUCUUUUAAUCUCACCCCAAUUUUUUUUAGGAAAUCAAGUCUGUGAGCCUGCAGUUACAACAUCAACUUUAUUGAAAUCUCUCAGGCUUCAUUUAUUUUUACAUCAGGGAAAAAAUAGCAUAAAAAAACUACAGAAAAUGGGAAAAAGAUGGAUUGUGUAUUUUUCUGUAUAACAGAUUAAAAGGAAAAAUAGAUUAUAUUCCUAUGAAAGACUGUAUACCUGUGUGAGUGAAGGAUUCUGCUGAUCAUCCCACCAAGAUCCUGAUAGGACAUGAAGGGGAAUGACAGUCUUCCAAUUUUCUCUUUGGUCAAAGCUGAUUAAACUGUAGGUUUUUUUAAGAGCCAUAUAAAGCUUAACUCUUAGGACUUUGGCUGAUGUCAGAGGUCCAGAAAGUAGUAAAUUAAUGUCCCAUUCCAUAAACAAAUACUUAAUACUUAUUUGCACAUGCCUGAAGGGUUCAUCAAACACUAAGGAAUCCCAAAGGGGCCAUUGUUAAAAUUGUGUGAAUACCGGAUGUAGAAUCAACUGGUUACUAUGUGUCUCAGGAGUGAACAAGACUGUAGGACAUGUCCUGGUACAGCUGAGCAUAGGAUGGAGAGCAGACCAAAAUAAGAUAGGCCAGGAGCCUUUUCUCAGGCAGAACAGAGGA